RNAcentral lists this ribosomal RNA (506 nucleotides) under uncultured bacterium. RNAcentral's name for it is "bacterial SSU rRNA". It matches the Rfam family "Bacterial small subunit ribosomal RNA", at positions 23 to 518 of the family's 1533-position model. The record is from RNAcentral.
CUCAGGAUGAACGCUAGCUACAGGCUUAACACAUGCAAGUCGAGGGGCAGCGAGAGGAAAGCUUGCUUCCUUGUCGGCGACCGGCGCACGGGUGAGUAACGCGUAUCCAACCUUCCCCUUAGUAGGGCAUAGCCCGUAGAAAUGCGGAUUAAUACCCUAUGUUUUCCGAUGAGGACAUCUGAGCUGGAACAAAGGUUUACCGCUAAGGGAUGGGGAUGCGUCUGAUUAGGCAGCAGGCGGGGUAACGGCCCACCUGGCCGACGAUCAGUAGGGGUUCUGAGAGGAAGGUCCCCCACAUUGGAACUGAGACACGGUCCAAGCUCCUACGGGAGGCAGCAGUGAGGAAUAUUGGUCAAUGGGCGCGAGCCUGAACCAGCCAAGUAGCGUGCAAGGAUGACGGCCCUAUGGGUUGUAAACUGCUUUUAUGCGGGGAUAAAGUCACCCACGUGUGGGUGUUUGUAGGUACCGCAUGAAUAAGGACCGGCUAAUUCCGUGCCAGCAGCUGC